Molecule: non-coding RNA, 28 nt
Filed under: Rattus norvegicus (Norway rat)
Lineage: Eukaryota; Metazoa; Chordata; Mammalia; Rodentia; Muridae
Source: RNAcentral
UCUCGCUUAAUCUAACUCACCCAAGGCU